RNAcentral lists this ribosomal RNA (587 nucleotides) under uncultured bacterium. RNAcentral's name for it is "bacterial SSU rRNA". It matches the Rfam family "Bacterial small subunit ribosomal RNA", at positions 338 to 916 of the family's 1533-position model. The record is from RNAcentral.
CCUACGGGAGGCAGCAGUGGGGAAUUUUGGACAAUGGGCGAAAGCCUGAUCCAGCCAUGCCGCGUGAGUGAAGAAGGCCUUCGGGUUGUAAAGCUCUUUCAGCCGGAAAGAAAUCGCGCAGGAUAAUACUCUGCGUGGAUGACGGUACCGGCAGAAGAAGCACCGGCUAACUACGUGCCAGCAGCCGCGGUAAUACGUAGGGUGCGAGCGUUAAUCGGAAUUACUGGGCGUAAAGCGUGCGCAGGCGGUUAUGUAAGACAGAUGUGAAAUCCCCGGGCUCAACCUGGGAACUGCGUUUGUGACUGCAUAACUAGAGUACGGCAGAGGGAGGUGGAAUUCCGCGUGUAGCAGUGAAAUGCGUAGAGAUGCGGAGGAACACCGAUGGCGAAGGCAGCCUCCUGGGCCAGUACUGACGCUCAUGCACGAAAGCGUGGGGAGCAAACAGGAUUAGAUACCCUGGUAGUCCACGCCCUAAACGAUGUCAACUAGUUGUUGGGGGGGUAAAACCCUUUAGUAACGUAGCUAACGCGUGAAGUUGACCGCCUGGGGAGUACGGCCGCAAGGUUAAAACUCAAAUGAAUUGACGG